UUAGAUGAAGCCAAAAUAGAGGCAAUUUACUGUUAAUGAAUGAAAUGAAAUUUAUUUUCCAUCUAAA
RNAcentral lists this transfer RNA (67 nucleotides) under Geron pallipilosus. RNAcentral's name for it is "tRNA-Asn". The record is from RNAcentral. Lineage: Eukaryota; Metazoa; Arthropoda; Insecta; Diptera; Bombyliidae.